RNAcentral lists this long non-coding RNA (544 nucleotides) under Saimiri boliviensis boliviensis (Bolivian squirrel monkey). Its description in RNAcentral is "lncRNA (ENSSBOG00000036782.1)". Lineage: Eukaryota; Metazoa; Chordata; Mammalia; Primates; Cebidae. The record is from RNAcentral.
CCGGCAACGGCGCGCUUGCCCCGCAACUGCGAGCCCCGACCCCACGUGGGCGGCCGAGAGGCCGUCAUCUGUGAAACCCUAGGACAGGACGAGAAAACGCGCUUUUCCUGGAAAUCCCGCUCCUCUGCCCGUCCCGCGCCCCGGACCCCACCUCUGCGCGCUGCUGGCGGAGGAGCCGUUUCCCGGGGGAGAUAACGCCCGAACGCAAACGGCCAGCUCGCACACCGUUUCCUCCGCGCUGGAGUGCGGACCUGCAAUGGCACGUCUAACUCAGGUUCUGUCAAAGCAAUUAUUUCAAAGCCAUUGACAUAGAGUAGAAAAGGCAUCUAAAAGCCGUAUUCAAAAUUGCUGUCUACUGCACUUUGGGAAGCCAAGUCUGGUGAAUCACCUGAGGUGAAGAGUUCGAGACCAUCCUGGCCAACAUCGUGAAACCCCUUCUCUACUAAAAAUACAAAAAUUAGGUGGGCGUGGUGAUGGACGCCUAUAGUCUCAGGUACUCCGGAGGCUGCGGCAGAAUUGCUUGAACUCGGGAAGGUAACUACCU